GGGGAAUCUUCCGCAAUGGGCGAAAGCCUGACGGAGCAACGCCGCGUGAGUGAUGAAGGUUUUCGGACUGUAAAGCUCUGUUGUCAGGGACGAAUGCGCAGACUGUGAAUAAUUGUUUGCGUUGACGGUACCUGACGAGGAAGCCACGGCUAACUACGUGCCAGCAGCCGCGGUAAUACGUAGGUGGCAAGCGUUGUCCGGAAUUAUUGGGCGUAAAGAGCAUGUAGGCGGGCCUUUAAGUCCGACGUGAAAAUGCGGGGCUCAACCCCGUAUGGCGUUGGAAACUGUAGGUCUUGAGUGCAGGAGAGGAAAGGGGAAUUCCCAGUGUAGCGGUGAAAUGCGUAGAUAUUGGGAGGAACACCAGUGGCGAAGGCGCCUUUCUGGACUGUGUCUGACGCUGAGAUGCGAAAGCCAGGGUAGCAAACG
RNAcentral lists this ribosomal RNA (426 nucleotides) under uncultured Acidaminococcus sp. Its description in RNAcentral is "bacterial SSU rRNA". It matches the Rfam family "Bacterial small subunit ribosomal RNA", at positions 356 to 774 of the family's 1533-position model. The record is from RNAcentral. Lineage: Bacteria; Bacillati; Bacillota; Negativicutes; Acidaminococcales; Acidaminococcaceae.